UACGUAGGGGGCAAGCGUUGUCCGGAUUUAUUGGGCGUAAAGAGCUCGUAGGCGGUUCCGUAAGUCGGAUGUGAAAAUCUGGGCUCAACCCAGUGGAGCACCCGAUACUGCGGUGACUCGAGUCCGGUAGGGGAGUGUGGAAUUCCUGGUGUAGCGGUGAAAUGCGCAGAUAUCAGGAGGAACACCGACGGCGAAGGCAGCACUCUGGGCCGGUACUGACGCUGAGGAGCGAAAGCAUGGGGAGCGAACAGG
RNAcentral lists this ribosomal RNA (252 nucleotides) under uncultured bacterium. RNAcentral's name for it is "partial 16S ribosomal RNA". It matches the Rfam family "Bacterial small subunit ribosomal RNA", at positions 524 to 776 of the family's 1533-position model. The record is from RNAcentral.